GACGAACGCUGGCGGCGUGCUUAACACAUGCAAGUCGAACGGUAAGGCCCUUCGGGGUACACGAGUGGCGAACGGGUGAGUAACACGUGGGUGAUCUGCCCUGCACUUCGGGAUAAGCCUGGGAAACUGGGUCUAAUACCGGAUAGGACCACUGCCCGCAUGGGUGGUGGGGGAAAGCUUUUGCGGUGUGGGAUGGGCCCGCGGCCUAUCAGCUUGUUGGUGGGGUGAUGGCCUACCAAGGCGACGACGGGUAGCCGGCCUGAGAGGGUGACCGGCCACACUGGGACUGAGAUACGGCCCAGACUCCUACGGGAGGCAGCAGUGGGGAAUAUCGCACAAUGGGCGCAAGCCUGAUGCAGCGACGCCGCGUGAGGGAUGACGGCCUUCGGGUUGUAAACCUCUUUCAGCACCGACAAAGCGCAAGUGACGGUAGGUGCAGAAGAAGGACCGGCCAACUACGUGCCAGCAGCCGCCGUAA
RNAcentral lists this ribosomal RNA (478 nucleotides) under uncultured bacterium. RNAcentral describes it as "partial 16S ribosomal RNA". It matches the Rfam family "Bacterial small subunit ribosomal RNA", at positions 28 to 523 of the family's 1533-position model. The record is from RNAcentral.